GGGUUGUGAGGUUAAGCGACUAAGCGUACACGGUGGAUGCCCUGGCAGUCAGAGGCGAUGAAGGACGUGCUAAUCUGCGAUAAGCGUCGGUAAGGUGAUAUGAACCGUUAUAACCGGCGAUUUCCGAAUGGGGAAACCCAGUGUGAUUCGUCACACUAUCGUUAACUGAAUACAUAGGUUAACGAAGCGAACCGGGGGAAGUGAAACAUCUAAGUACCCCG
RNAcentral lists this ribosomal RNA (221 nucleotides) under Salmonella enterica subsp. enterica serovar 8,(20):-:z6. RNAcentral describes it as "partial 23S ribosomal RNA". It matches the Rfam family "Bacterial large subunit ribosomal RNA", at positions 1 to 213 of the family's 2925-position model. Lineage: Bacteria; Pseudomonadati; Pseudomonadota; Gammaproteobacteria; Enterobacterales; Enterobacteriaceae. The record is from RNAcentral.